GACGAACGCUGGCGGCGUGCUUAACACAUGCAAGUCAAGGGGGCCCAGCAAUGGGCAACCGGCGAACGGGUGCGUAACACGUGAGCAACCUACCGAAAUGCGGGGGAUAGCCGGCCUAACGGCCGAGUAAUACCGCAUACGCUCUUAAUGAGGCAUUUCAUUGAGAGGAAACCUACGGGGUAUUUCGAGGGGCUCGCGGCCUAUCAGCUAGUUGGCGAGGUAACGGCUCACCAAGGCAACGACGGGUAGCUGGUCUGAGAGGAUGGCCAGCCACAUUGGGACUGAGAUACGGCCCAGACUCCUACGGGAGGCAGCAGUGGGGAAUCUUGCGCAAUGGGCGAAAGCCUGACGCAGCCAUGCCGCGUGUAUGAUGAAGGUCUUAGGAUUGUAAAAUACUUUCACCGGGGAAGAUAAUGACGGUACCCGGAGAAGAAGCCCCGGCUAACUUCGUGCCAGCAGCCGCAGUAA
RNAcentral lists this ribosomal RNA (468 nucleotides) under uncultured bacterium. RNAcentral describes it as "bacterial SSU rRNA". It matches the Rfam family "Bacterial small subunit ribosomal RNA", at positions 28 to 523 of the family's 1533-position model. The record is from RNAcentral.